UGGAAGUGAUCUACAAACAGUUCUGAAGAAUACACAGGUCACACAGGUCACAUGUGAUAUAAUGUUUGAAGUUUACCUUUUAAUUGACAAAUAAUAAUUGUAUAUAUUUAUGGGGUACAAUGUGAUAUUUUAAUACAAAUAUACUGGGUCAGUUUUUUGUCACGGUGACAAAUACCUGGGAAUAGCUACUUAAAAAGAGGAAAAAUGUAUUUUGGCUUGUGGUUUCAGAUGUUUCAGUCCGUGGUUAGCUGGUUCAUGGCUCUAGGCCUCAUUGGAAACAGAACACCACUUAGGGCAAAGCUGCUCACCGUGUGGCAGUCAGGAAGCAGAGAGAAAGAGAAAGAACCAGACACCCAGGAGCCAGGGGCAAGAUGGAGUCCUCAGGGUUACACCCCGAUGGCUCAGUCCCUUCCACUAAGCUCCUCUUCCUACAUUUCUGUCACCUCCCAAUAAUUCUGUCAAAGUAUGAUCUCUUCAGUGGGUUGACUCAUGUAUGAAGUUAGAGCCCUUUUGAUCCAAUCACCUUCCAAAAGCCUUACCUCUGAACACAUGAGAUUUGGGAAGAUAUUUUAGGUCUAAACUAUCACAUAUACACUAUAGAAUGGUCGUAUCAGGUUAAUUCACAUAUCCAUCCUCUCAUACGCUUAUCAUUUCUUUGUGGUGAAAACAUUUAAAAUCUACUCUCUUAGCAGCUGUGAAAUACACAUUGCAAUAACUAUAAUCACAUUGCCAUGCCAUUUGCAUUCCAGUCCAUGCCUUUACUGUUCUGUUCCUCCAUAUGAAUUAGUUUGGGUCUAAAGACAUGUUCACAGAGAAGCAGAGCUGGAAUCCAGGCUAGAGUGUAAUGGGAAAUACUCUGGAGUGCCCUUCCCUCGGUCACUGGCUGUCCCAUCUGCCACCCGCUGGUGGAGUAGCCUUGGGAAAACCACCUGACCUUUCUGUCCUCACUUUCCUUGUUUGUGUGAUAAGGAUAGUACUGCCAUGCUCUUGCAGGGUCAUUGUGAAAUUUAUGUACUGGGUGGUACACGGGUGAACCAUGAAAAGUUGUAACCUAGUAUAAAACUGUAAUAACCGUGUUAUUAUAUCACAUAGUUUUUCCUAUUCUUCCUCCCACUCUCCCCAGAAACAACCAACCAACCAAAGUUCAGGGCAAAUCAAGCAUUUGUGAUGGCAGGCCUAACUGAAGUCUGGGGCAGUAUCUCGGGACCCAUGUGGGGGUACCUCUGCAAGUUCCUGUGCUGCAUCUUGGCUUCUGUGGACCCCUGCCGUGCCCUGCCUCCUGUGGGAGGAGGGAGAGCAGUGACAUCAUCUGCCCCUCUGUGGCUGUCAACAUCCUAUGAGUGCUAUGGAACCAAGAUUGCUGUGACUUUGCAGGUGUACAGAAAGAGCAAGAGCAUCGCUCAUCUAGAACCUGUGCUCUCCCCGCGCGUGUCCAGCAGUGAGUUGCUCCCACCACGCAACACUCUGAUCUGACCUUCUUAUUCACCAAAAAGUCAACGAGCAAUGGGGAGCUCCUGUGAACAUGUGGAGCCUGGUGGAGGUAUCCUUAAAGCUCUUCUGAAACCGCUUGCAGGUCCUCCAUCUCUCUAUGCCUUCUCUCUUCCUCCCAGUGACACUGUUGUGGUUCAUACAAUUCCUGCCUUGUCCUCCUCUGCCACAGGGCCUUGCUACAUGAUCCUGAGUGCCUGGACAUGAGCUCCGGGCUCUGAG
This is a long non-coding RNA of Chinchilla lanigera (long-tailed chinchilla), 1710 nucleotides long. RefSeq lists it as uncharacterized. The record is from RefSeq and is a predicted model, not a curated record. The transcript is spliced from 3 exons. Lineage: Eukaryota; Metazoa; Chordata; Mammalia; Rodentia; Chinchillidae.